Molecule: ribosomal RNA, 245 nt
Filed under: uncultured Lachnospiraceae bacterium
Lineage: Bacteria; Bacillati; Bacillota; Clostridia; Lachnospirales; Lachnospiraceae
Description: partial 16S ribosomal RNA
Rfam family: Bacterial small subunit ribosomal RNA
Source: RNAcentral
UACGUAGGGGGCAAGCGUUAUCCGGAUUUACUGGGUGUAAAGGGAGCGUAGACGGAAGGUCAAGUCAGGUGUGAAAGGCAUGGGCUCAACCCGUGGACUGCACUUGAAACUGGUCAUCUCGAGUGUCGGAGGGGCAGGCGGAAUUCCUGGUGUAGCGGUGAAAUGCGUAGAUAUCAGGAAGAACACCGGUGGCGAAGGCGGCCUGCUGGACGAUCACUGACGUUGAGGCUCGAAGGCGUGGGGAG